GCAAAUUGAGAGUCCAAAUUAUUCAAACAGAUGAUUCAUCAUAUCAUGCAACACCAAGAUUCAUAUGAACUAAACUAAUUCAUCAUAUAUGUUCAAUUAAGAAUUAUUUAGACGACCCUUAAGCUGACAUGACCAGACUGGUGGAUAACCCACUGGGAAUUUAUACAGAAAACGAGCCCUAUUACUUGCAACAACAUAAGGUUCCUGUGAGUAGAAGCUCUUCUUUGAUCAAUCAUCCAUGGCUUCCUCAGUUUUUUUUAUCAAUCGUCCAUGUGAUUAUUGAUCUGCUAAUGAAUUAGGCUUUGCUAUAUUUGUUCCAACAUCUGGUAUCAGAGCCAAUAAUAUUGGCUUCUCAUUAAUCCGUCAAGGCUGAUGCUUAUGUAAUUACUAAUCAUUAUUUUCUUCUUCUAAUUACUAAUUAUUAUAUUCUUCUUCUAAUCAUUAAUCUGAUUAUACAAGAUGUUCCAAGCGAUUAAAUUUUGUAAAAGAGGAAAUUUGAAUUUAUACCCGUCCGCCGUGGUUUUAAGAUUCCGGCCACACAAAUCUGCACAAGCCUUAAGGUCCCUUCUCCACUGCUCCACCUCAUCUGGAUCUUCAUCCCUUUCAUGCUUCCGAAAUGCUUCCCCAAAACUACCGCUCUGUUUCCUCACUUGAGAAGGGUCAACGUCGUAGAAUAUUGGAUAGACUACUUUCCCCUCUUGGUCUUCUCAUGAUCUUCGACAGCUCGCUCAGGCAACCAUCCGGCCUCCGCAUACCUCUUUGAGAAGACGACGACCGCGAUCCUCGACCCUUCGAUUUCUCCGUCAAGUUCGCUCGGUGUAUUUUCCUCCCUUCUGAGCUGGUAAUCUACAAACGUGUUAAUUCCGGCACUGUCGUAACGCAAUGGAGAGGUGGUCUGUGAAGGUAGUGCGUGUGUCGUCGCCCUAAAGCUGAGGAACACCUCGUACUUCCAGUGGUUUGAACGCCGAGACGAAGCGAUGCGGCGGCAGCGGUGGCGGUUGCAUGGGCGGAUCUGCUGGUAUUCAUUGAUUUCAAGUAAAGAAGAGAAAAACUCCUGAUUCGUUUCAGUCUAAAGAAAACAAGUAUCCCUCCCAAGAUUCCCCAGUGAAACUCCUGAUUAUUUUUUGAAUCGCUGGAAGAUGUGUGAGAGCAAAGCAAAUUAAGGACCCCAGCUCUUUGAUUAUUGUUUUGCAAAAAACAAACCCUCGAAGAUCUGAAACGCAGCUCAAACAGAUACAAAUCCAAUACGAAAAUAUUAGAGAGAAGAGAUACUGCUCUUUGACGACUUCCAGUUCCAGCUCUUUGUCUCUAUCUCGAUCUCGGUCUUAGUCAGAACUGGCGGUUGUUGCGGGCGGUGCGGCGUCGGAGGGGCGCGAGAAGAGGGAGAGAAGAAAGAAGAGAGAGAAAAAAAAUUGAAAUAAUGCCGUGUCAAUAACGCGUGAGUGACAGGCGGCAUUUUUUCAUUUUUUGCAUUGGUCAAUGAUGUUACUGUAGCUUGUAAAUAACGCGUGAGUGCUAUUCUAUUUCUCCCACUGUCAAUAAUGCCGUGUCAAUAACGCGUGAGUGCUACUGCUUUUUACUAGUUUUCUUGAUUAGAAAAAUGGGCGGCGGAUAGAGAAUGAGAGCCUACAGACCCUACCACUGAUUUGAUUGAUGGCUAAGAAUUAACCUCUCUUUUGUGACUUGAAGUACGCCCUUAAAACUAAAGACAAUUCCUUGAAAGCGGUGGGUUAUAAAAAUUGUACCAGGAUUCUUUCUUGAGCUAAGGAUAAGGAUUUUUUUUAUCAAGGAGUGUAGGCCGUUGGAUGAAAAUUCAACGGCUACAAACAGGAGGUCCUUUUAAAGUUAUAAUAAUUGUAGUCGUUGAAUUUUCAUUCAACGGUCCACACUCUUUGAUCAGGAGAAUCCUCAUCCUUAGCUCAGGAGAGGAUCCUGGUCCAUAAAAAUUAGUGUUCUAAAAAUUGAUCUAAACAAUCAUCUAGACGGAGCUUAGGAACUGAACUUGUGGCUGACCGUAGCGAUUAGGUUUUAAUCGGUCGUAAAAUCGGUAAACUUAUUAGGCGGAUGUCUGAGCAAGAUUAGGCGGGUCUAGCCGGUAAUAUGCAUGCCUAGACGGCGAUGUUAAGUCUCCUGAACCUGGGGUAAAAGAUGUUGCAGAGUCGGGAGGAAAAAGAUGGUCCUGUGGGGACCACAUCUUCUUUUUCAAUUUAAAUGGACGGCAUUAUUUUUUCAUGGUCCCACCAUCUCUACAUUGGUUGCACGUUUGUUGACAUUCUUGUUUUUAAUAAUCUCAUGUUCUCGUUUAUGAUCUUGAGUAAUACUAAGAAGGUUAAAAUAUAAAGUUAAAUUUGUAAAUUAAAUGAUAUGUCAUCGAUAAAAUGACACGGAGAAUAAUAUAAUUUGGUUACAUUUUAAAUAAGCAAAUAUAUUUUAGAAAUGUUAUCAAUGACAUAAAUCACUGCAAAACCAAACCGUAGCACACAAAUCAUCCCUGCUAAAACAGCUAAAAUCACACAAGUUUACAAACAUUGGGAUAAAAUCCAUAGUUAUUCAUGUUAAAUAUCAUUACAAUAAGUUGAUUUUUGUUGGCUGCAGCCAUCCAACUACUAUGUUCCUUCAGCGCCCAAUGUUGGAUUUUCGAAGGCGAAGAAACUCCAGACAGUCUCCUUUUUGGCCUUGCUGCAGCUGCUGCUACUACUGUGUUACCACUUGGAAAUUGGAUGCUCAGAUUUCCCGUGCAUGCUGCGACUCUUGCCCGAGCAUUCUCGAAGACAAUCACCGCAUAAACUUCAAUCGGAAAUCACAAAUUUGCAUGCAAAACACGCAAUGAGACAUCACAAUCGUCACAAAUUUGAAGUUUAACUCCACUACCAUUCUUUCAACACCAAUUUAGAACGGAACUUCACUACGUCACUUAAAAAUAAUAAAAGUUUUUAUCACAAAUGAUCCUUAAAAUUAACCCACAAGAGCAAGAUGGUCUCUGAAAUUGAAAAUCGAUCAAUGUAAUUCUUGAAAAUAGGUGUCACAAAAUUAAUAUGGUCAUUUCAUCACAAUUUUAUUAUGCGUUGAUGUGGUUUAAUAAUUAAUUAAGAAAGUUGUGAAAACAUCUUUUUGCACAUUGAGAUUAUCUCAAAACAGAGCUUGUCAUUCUGCGCAUCACGAAGAUCACUGGGGAGCGCCCAACAAGCUCUCCAAGAUUAAGAUUGAGGUUGUCGAUCGCCCAAAUAUUAAUUGUAGAGCCACAAAAAUCGUCAUCAAAAGGUGGUCUCGAUCCGGGUCAAAUUCGAUGAAGGGUGUCGAAGGUUGUAAAGAUUGAUGUCUUGGGAAUUUUCUUUUUCAGAGAAGGGACAGUGAAGGCUAUCACAAAUAGAGGUAGAGGAGUAUCAGAUGGAAUCAGAGAUGAUUACCGGGAUCGAGUCUCUGGGUUGACAACUUUUUAAUUAAAUUUUAAAUUAUUACACAUAUUUCUAAUUCAUUUUUUUAUUUAGUUAGUUUGCCACACCAGUACAUAACAAAAAUCUUUGACAUAAUUACGACGGAAUGACCACAUUGAUUUGUUACAUCAAUUUUAGGACUACAUUGAUUAAUUUGCAAUUUUGGAACCAUAUUGAUGGUGUGGAUCAAUUUCAGAGAUCAUUUGUGGUAAAAGAAAAAAAAAGACUUGUGGGACACAUAACAUAAUUUAGACGGAAUGACCAAAUUGAUUUGCAACACCUAUUUAGAAGGACUAUAUUGAUUGAUUCAAUUUCAAGGAUCAUCUUAAUGAUGUGGACCAAUUUCAUGAACUAUUUGUGAUAUAAACCUAUAUAUAUUUUUUAUAAAAUGCCUAAGUCCUCGUGGUGAUAAGGUAUUUGCAAGAUAGCUCAUGGUAAGGAAAUUCGGAUUUAAACUUUUGGAAUAAAGUCCGUUAGGAUUUUAGUCCAAAAAACAAAUUUCCGUUAUCUCUGUUAACCUCAAAAACAAAACUUCGUAUUUCUAUGAAUUUCUGCACUGCCUUUAUUAUGGCUCAAUAGAAAUGCUCCCAUUUUUUGUUUUUUUUGUUUUUUAAUAGAAAUGCUCCCAUGAUUAAUCCAAUCAAGUAAAAAUGUAAUUCUAUACCGAUCCCUUGUGGUUUGUUUAUUCCUAAGUUGUUUUCGUGCAUGUUUUGGAGAGUAUGGAGGCUCUGCAUCUGUCUGUAAUGGCCAGCCCCUCCAUCUCCUUCUCUAUGAUCUCAUUUCUGUUUCUACAUGAUGUGAGAUGACAUUGAAGAACCAGUAAGGCCCUUUUUAACAAUUAAAAAUCAAGGCCCUCUUUCUAUUCAAAACACACGUGGAAAAAGAGGGGCAAUGAUUACUGAUUGAAUAUGAAGAUUUUUUUCAACCAUGAGUAAAUUUCCAGUGAGCCAUAAACAGGAGAAGGAACACCAAUGAAGGAGGAACACAAUGAAAAUGCACGAAAGUAACAAAUGAUGAAGGGGAGCAAAGCCCAACGGGACAUAAUGAGUUAACUGUAGCCACAUGCAGGGAAAUGUACGAAGCGUGAAUAUAGAGACUCAUGAUUCCUAACCCUUAAGAAAAGGGAAGCUUAAUGGAGAAACUAACAAAAAUUUUGAUUUUGGUCUUAAUUCCUAAUGUAUUUCACCACAAGGGUUUAAAUCAUUUUUCUUUUAUUUUAUUUUUUAUUUUUUUAUUUUUACCACAUGAACUAUCUUCAGAAUACUCUAUUACCACGAUGAUCAUUUAUUAAAUUAGGCCUUUAUAAAAUGUUAGUUCGGUUUAGAAUUACUGAACAAAGGCAUAUGAGAUCCUGAAUCCGGUACCGUACGAACUUUUUGUAGAAAAAGAAUAUGUGGAUGAAAAAGUAUAUUUCAUUAAUACGUGAAUACCAAUAUAUACAAUCACAUUCCUUGCACACCAAGGUAUUAACCCUACAAGUUAGGGAUACAAAUUAGGAAUACAAAUAUAAUUAGGAUUACAAUCAACUAAUACUUCUAUUUGUCUAACACUCCCCCUCAAGCUGGAGAGUGGAUGUCAAGAACUCCCAACUUGCGUAACAUAGUCGAAAACUUGUCCUUCCCGAGAGGCUUGGUGAACAAAUCUGCCAAUUGGUGCGCCAUACCCACAAACUUGGUUGCUAUAGUUCCAUCUGCAAUCUUAUCUCGUAUAAAGUGACAAUCCAUCUCAAUAUGACGAGUUCGUUCAUGAAAAACAAGAUUAGCUGCUAUAUGUAACGCUGCUUGAUUAUCGCAAAACAAGACGGAAGGACUUCCUAAAGGAAUGUUCAAAUCCUUCAACAAAAAACGAAGCCAAAUUAACUCACAACAAGCACCUGCCAUAGCCCUGUAUUCUGCCUCAGCUGAAGAAAGUGAAACAGUUUUCUGACGCUUUGUCCGCCACGAAAUCAAAGAAUUUCCCAAGAAUACACAAUACCCAGUAGUCGAACGGCGAGUGAUAGGACAACCUGCCCAAUCAGAGUCACAGAAAGCAGCUAAUUUGGUUUGAUUGUCAGAACUAAAUAAUAAGCCUUGACCUGGAGUAGACUUCAAAUAACGAACAACACGAAGUGCAGCAUCCAUAUGAGGUACACGUGGCUCGUGCAUAAACCGACUCAAAACAUGCACGGAAUAAGUGAUAUCCGGCCGAGUUAUAGUAUAAGGUAGAUUAGCCGUCCUAUUAAACGCCGAUACUUUUCAGGAUCUUUGAGAAGUUCUCCUUUAUCAGAUAAUUUAGUAUCAUCCAUAGGAAAAGCAAUGGGCCGUGCUCCCAGAAAACCAUAAUCCUUGAGAAUCUCUAAUGCAUACUUACGCUGUGAAAUAUAAAUCCCACGUUGGGAUCGAGAAACCUCAAUACCCAAAAAAUAUUUUAAAUCACCAAGGUCUUUUAUCCGAAAAUGGUCACGGAGAAAAGAUUUCAAAGCAUUGAUGGCACUGACGUCGUUGCCUGUAAUCACAAUAUCAUCCACAUAAAUGAGUAAGGAUGUGAAGGAAUUACCGGACUUUCUGGUGAACAAUGAAUAAUCAGCUUUGGACUGUUGAAAACCAGCAGAAAGAAUGGCACUAGUGAACUUGGCAAACCAUUGGCGAGAAGCUUGCUUGAAACCGUAAAGAGAUUUGUGAAGGCGACACACAAGAUUCUCCCCCUGUCGCAGAAGACCAGGAGAAUGAGACAUAUAAAUUUCCUUAUGUAAAUCACCAUGCAAGAAAGCAUUAUUAACAUCGAGCUGAUGAAGAGACCAAGACUGACUAGCAGCAAGGGCAAGAAGACAACGUACUGUAAUCAUCUUAGCAGUAGGAGAAAAUGUGUCAUGAUAAUCAAUACCAGCAGCUUGAGUGAAGCCCUUAGCAACCAAGCGAGCUUUAUAACGCUCUAUGGAACCGUCAGAGUUAUGCUUCAGUUUGUACACCCACUUACAAGCAAUAGGAACUUUGCCAGGGGGCAAGGGAGUCAAUGUCCAAGUACCAUUGGCAUGUAAAGCCUCAAGUUCGUCAGCCAUGGCCCGACGCCAAUUAGGAUCACGAGCAGCCUCUGCAAAAGAAGAUGGCUCCAAACUCCGACUGACGGAGUAAAUAUAUGAAAGAUGGGGUGGAGAGAUGCGGUGGUAAGAAAUAAAGUUACAAAGAGGAUAUCGUGUACCUUUGACAGAACCGGGCUGCGAAGUCGACGAAGGGUGUGGAGGCAGAAUCACCUGCGAGCAAACAUAAUCCUUUAAAUAUUUGGGAGGGUUGUGGGUGCGGGAAGAAGUGCGGGUAGAAGGAUUGGCAGUGGGUAGUGACUGAGGAGGGGGGACCGUGAGGGUGGGGGAAGGAGUGGGGUUGUCGGUGGAAGAGGGAAUAGGUGGGGCCGAUUGGGAAAGGGUAUUAGUGGGGGACGGGAAAGGUGAGAUGGAAAUGGGGUGGGGUGGAGAUGUGGUAUAUGGAAUAGGGGACGGAUGGAUAGGUGAUGUGGCAGGUGAGGGAGGAGAGAAAUGACACGUGGGUCGGGGAGAUGGUGGGUAAGAAAUAUCUGGGGAAGGUGGAAAAGACAGAGGAGGGGUGAUGGGUGGUGUAGGUGGGGGCGUGGCAGCAAAAGGAAAAGUGUUUUCAUGAAAAAUUACAUCGCGACUGGUGAAGGUGCGGUGGGUUUCUAAGUCAUAUAAUUUGUAAGCUUUUUGACCAUGAGGAUAACCAAUGAAGGUGCAUCGAUGGGCCCGAGGGGAAAAUUUAAUGGUAGGGUUGAUGGAAGUGGCAUAAGCGAGACAACCGAAGACACGGAAGUGGUCAUAGGAUGGGGGUUGAGUAUGGAGGACCUCAAAAGGAGAUUUAUUAUGCAAAAGUCGAGUAGGGAGACGAUUGAUGGUAUAGGCAGCGGUAAGGACACAUUCACCCCAAAAUUUGAGUGGAAGAUGGGAUUGAAAUCGAAUGGCGCGAGCGGUUUCAAGAAGGUGCCUAUGUUUGCGUUCAACAACGCCAUUUUGUUGGGGGGUGUAGACACAUGAAGUUUGAAAAAGAACCCCAUUAUCAGAAAAAAAAUUGCGAAGAGAAAUAAAUUCUCCGCCAUUAUCGGUACGAAUGCUUUGAACCUUUGUGUGAAAUUGGGUUUGAACAUAUGCAAAAAAUUGUUUGAUGAUGGGUUGAGUAUCAUAUUUAUGUUGCAUGAGAAAUACCCACGUAAAGCGGGAAAAAUCAUCCACAAUAGUCAAAAAAUAAUGAGCGCCAGUAAGGGAAGAUUGACGAUUCGGACCCCAAAUAUCACAAUGAAUUAAAGCAAAAGGAAAAGUUGUUGAAAUUGAACUUAAACCAAAAGGUUGACGGGUUUGUUUGGCCAGAGGACAAACAUCACAAACAUGACUAGAAUCUAAGGGACAAUUAAGGAAAGUAGAUGCUAGAACUUGCAGACUGCGAGAAGAAAGGUGACCAAGACGCCGAUGCCAUAAGGGAGAAGGUAUAGUGAUGAUGUUGCAUAGAGGUUGACGGGUGGGGAGAGAGGAUGCAAGGGCCACAAGGUAAUAAAGGUCGCCACAUCGCUUACCCACACCAAUCGUCACCUUCGAAACCAAGUCCUGCAAAACACACCAAGAAGGAAAAAAGGUUAUGGAACACGAUAAACCAUCUGUAAGCUUACCAACCGAUAAAAGGUCCACUUUAAAAUUAGGGACACAUAAAACAUCGUCCAAAUCAAUCGAGGAAUUUAAACGAAUAGUUCCAGUUAAAGUAAUGGGAGCGGUGGCACCACUAGGCAGAGAAACGGGUGGCAAGUGCGACGUAGAAGUAUUAACCAAACACGAAGCAGAAGAAGUGAUAUGAUUCGUGGCGCCGCUGUCAAUGAUCCAUUGACCAUGACAAGAAGCCACGGGUAACAAACCUUGGGCAAAAUCAGUACUGGUAACGGCAUGGGCCUGAGGAGGUGGUGGCGCAUUGAGAGCGGCAAGAAGGCGGGAAUGUUGCUCGGCAGAAAGAUUAGGCAUGGCAACCUGCAAUUCAUGCAGAGUGGGCUGACUGUUCACAUGAUGGGCGGAUGGGCCAGGUUGUGAUGGGCCGUUGGGGCCUAAGGGGGACCGAGAAACACCAUUAGUGAUGCGGGCAGAAGACGCAGCGACGCUGCUACGGCCAGAAGAAGCAGAUCCACUGCUGCGCACAGAACCAGUAGAAGUCGAAUGGCGGCGAGGUGGUCUCCACGGCUGACCAUGAAGGGGAUGGCCAACGGGAUACCCAUGCAGUUUAUGGCAAGUGUCACGGGUGUGGAAGUCAUAAUCACAAUAGGUGCAAUGGAGAGGGGGUCGGUCGGACGAAGAUCGAGAAGAGCUCCGUACAACCAUGGCAGCGGGGAGGGGUCGGCAGGACGUGAAGAACCUAUGGCGCGCUGCUUUUCAGCCUGAGAAACAGAUGAACAGGCCUGGCGGACAGUGGGCAAAGGGUUCAUCAAAAGAAUUUGGUCCCGGACGAUGGCAAACGAAUCGUUAAGACCCAUAAGAAAUUGCAUCAGGUGCUGACGAUCAUGUUUGGUGCCACAAGAACAAGAACAUGCAUCACUAUAGGAGGCGAGCUCGUCCCAAAGCCCUUUCAGGCGAGUAAAGUACGCAGAGACGGAGGAGGACCCUUGGGAGAUGGUGGCAAUUUCACGAUUCAGAUGGAAGAUACGGGGAGCGUUGCUCUGGGAGAAACGCUCACACAGGUCAUCCCAAACAGCCUUGGCAGUAGUGGAAAAAAGAACCGAGUCGGCAAGAUCAGGCUCCAGGGAAGAAAGGAUCCAGGAAAUGAUCAUAUCGUUGCAGCGCCUCCAGGAAGCAUGAGCAUCAGGGUCCUCGGAAGCAGAAGGUUCUUUAAUGUCUCCCGUAAUAAAACCAAGUUUAUUCUUGGCGCUUAAGGAGAUGUGCAUCCCGCGUGCCCAGGUCGUGUAGUUAUCUCCGUUUAACCUCUUGGAGACAAGAACAAGAUUGGGAUGGUCGGAAUGGUGAAGAUAAAANNNNNNNNNNNNNNNNNNNNNNNNNNNNNNNNNNNNNNNNNNNNNNNNNNNNNNNNNNNNNNNNNNNNNNNNNNNNNNNNNNNNNNNNNNNNNNNNNNNNNNNNNNNNNNNNNNNNNNNNNNNNNNNNNNNNNNNNNNNNNNNNNNNNNNNNNNNNNNNNNNNNNNNNNNNNNNNNNNNNNNNNNNNNNNNNNNNNNNNNNNNNNNNNNNNNNNNNNNNNNNNNNNNNNNNNNNNNNNNNNNNNNNNNNNNNNNNNNNNNNNNNNNNNNNNNNNNNNNNNNNNNNNNNNNNNNNNNNNNNNNNNNNNNNNNNNNNNNNNNNNNNNNNNNNNNNNNNNNNNNNNNNNNNNNNNNNNNNNNNNNNNNNNNNNNNNNNNNNNNNNNNNNNNNNNNNNNNNNNNNNNNNNNNNNNNNNNNNNNNNNNNNNNNNNNNNNNNNNNNNNNNNNNNNNNNNNNNNNNNNNNNNNNNNNNNNNNNNNNNNNNNNNNNNNNNNNNNNNNNUGGUCGAGGUCAUCUCAUCAGCUUUCUCGGCGAAGUGAAGUGUUACAGUUUAUUGGGCUCGACACAUUACACGCCGAGUUUAUGUUAUGAUUGGAUACUCUCAAGUGGGAUUUAGAGUUCGGCAUUCCGAUGGCUGAACCACUUUUACCAUUAAGACUUAUGUCCGCUUUGAGUAUUUGUGCCCUUACACUUUGGUGUCGAUUCGGCGUGAGUUUACUCUGACGAAUACCAUCACUGUGACCGAAUCUGACGACGACGAUUCGUGAACUUCGUAAGAAUAGUAGCCUUGUCUUCAGGUUCGAGAACCCAAGAGACCGAGACAUGUUCCUUCCUCGGUCGCAAUCGCAAGACGCAGAAGUCGGCCGCGCACCCAACGCAACGCAACAUCACACAAUUUUACUCCUCGGCCAAGCUCGGCCGACGAGUUGGCACGCCCCGCAUUCAAUCGAAUGACGUAGUUAGCUCAUAGAUUACUCGGCAUGCGCGCCACGUAGGCUUGGUAGUUUUUAGGGUCAACAUUAAGACUUUGGAAUAAAUUCGAUCUCUUUGGGACCAUAUCGGUGCUUCAAUGCUAUACUAUCAUUCAAUUCGUAUACUUGCGAGUACUAAAAUUCAAGACUUAAUGAGGUUAAUUUUGGAUAUCUAAUUUUCGCAACAAACCACCUCAAAGCCCUUUUGAAUAUAUGUCGCUUCUGCCUCCGCCAUUAAACUAGAUUCUUAUGGCAGGUCAGCACCGUCGCCUGCACCCUGAAAAAUACCAACAUAAUCUCUUACCUUGGUGAAGCCAGGAAUUGUCAUCGGGGGUGGGGGGGAGAACUUAGAAAAAGAGAGCGAGGUUCGAAAGAAUGACAACAACCAAAUCCUUUUAUAUAGUAAUGUCUUUCAUAAUUUAUCAAUACAAUAUAAUUUAGUACAUUAAUUUAACCCAUUCAUAUAGACAAAAUCCAAAGGAUAUAUACGAUAUACGAUUAAAAUAUAUGAAAAUAUGCACACAUCAUGGUUCAGAUAGAAUCGGACUCCAAAUGUCUAGUGGAAAUGCUUAACGAAAAAACUCAACUUGACGUUGUGAUUGAAGGCAUUCUCUUUGAUGUUCAGUGCUUGAAACAACAGUUGAGGUCAGUAGAAUUUAUCUUCGCUCCUCAUGUUUGCAAUAAAGCAGCGCAUCUAGUGGCUUCUUUUGUUGCCCAGAAAUGAGGCUUUCAUAAUUGAGAUGGUCUUAAGUCAGAAUAGCUAUUUAAUACUUUGGCUUCAUAGUAAACAUUUUCAUUCGAAUAUAAUCAAAUUGCUUUCUUUUAGAAAAAAAAAUAAGAAAAGUAAAAAAGAGGUUUGUCUAGGGUGUAAAAAAAAUACCGAAAAUUCCAAACCAUACGAAACCGAACCAAAACCAAACCGAUCCCGAAUUAUUCGGUAUGAGAUUCGGUCUCACAUCUUAGCAUCAUUCGGUAUCCAUGUCCCGAACCGAACUUUAAUAAAUAUAUUUUACAUAUAUACAUAUAUGUUGGAAUAUCUAUAAUGGGCCUAUUAUAUAUUAUUAAAAUAAGCAAAGUGUGCAGAAAAGCACAUGAUGUGUUGUGUGUUGCCUAAAUUUCUAUCAAGCAAACAUAUCUAUAAUGGCCUAUUAUAUCAUAUUAAAAUAAGUACAGUGUGCAAAAAAGCAUAUGGGUGCUGUCUAUAGAUACAUCCCUACUCAUUCUCUCUCUCAUCUUUACCUUCACCAAGAGUCUCAGACUCUUUUUCUGUCUUUUCUCUCAAAUUUGAAGCUCAAAGGCCACCCACCCACCCAUCCUCCCAUAAUCUGACUUCAUCCAACUCUCUCCACUCUGGCCACCACCACACCUUACUGCUUCAUCCCUACCUCCGAUUCUCUCCGAUUCUCAUUCUCUCCAGCGAUUCUCUAUGUGUGUGGGGUUUCAAAUUAAGGUUAGGGUUUUAAAUUGGGGUUUAGGGUUUCGAAUUGAGGGCUCGGAUCAUGAGGAAGAUACAGGUCUGACUAUUUCUUUACUCUGUCUCUUUUCUCUCUCUCUCAACCUUCAAUCUUCACUGAUUCACUCAUUGUCUCUGAUUUUAAAUUAGAGUUUUAAUGUAGGUUUAGAUGAUUUCAAGUUCGGUUUUGGGAAUUUCGAAAUACGAAAAUAUUUUGGGAAUCCCAAACUUCGGGAAUACCAAAAUUUUAGUUUGGGAUCAGUCGUCAGAUUUCCGUCUCGAAAAUAGUCAGUUUGGGACUUGAUAUGCCGUUUUCAGUUUGGUAUCCCAUACCAAACCAGCCCUAGGUUUGUCAAGUCAAAGGAACAAGUUGUUGGCCACGUAAGCACUUAGCCAAGUAAAAAAGAAAAAAAAAGUAGUAAUGAACUAUUGUGGCCUUGCACAUGCGAUAAGGUAUUCCAAUCGAGUGCUUAACUGUUUUGUAAAAUCAUUUCAAUAAGGGGUUUUAUAUGAGGUUAGAAAAGUGGUUGAUACAGUUCAAUUUUUUAAACUCUAAGAAAUUUUUUGGGGCUUUAAGAGCAUCUUCAAUAAGGGCUUUAUUCUCCAUGAGACUACUACAUUUCAAGUCUUAGUGAGAAAUUUCAUCUCUAAUGAGCCGAAAAAUUGGGCUGGAUCCAUCAACCAGGCUAGCAACUUCCUUUCUUAGGUAGCAUAAAAUUAGGCUACAUCUAGCCCCAAAAUCCAGUGGGUCCCAUAAAAAAAGUAGCAACCUAUGUGAGCAAAAUUAUAUCACUCUCCCUCCACUUGCGAAUACACUUAGAGCCUAUUUGUUUGCUUUCACUAAGUCUCGUUGGACUAGACUAGACUAAAGGUUAGUCCAAUCUUUUGUUUGUUAUCAACAUGAGACUAGCUUUACUGGGACUAAAGUUCACUCGCUCCGACUAAAACCUUGCUUAGCCGGUCCUAGCGAGGCCCCCCAACCACCUUGGGACUAGCCAAGACCGUUUUCCCUCUCAUGCCGCGUCCUCAUGCUCAUCAUGCAUGACUACGCCAUUUAUAAUGACAACGACGUGUCCUCAUGUUGUCGUCAUUUCGUCUUCGUCUCAAAGUUCAAACCACUGGAAGUAUGAGGUGUUCCUUAGCUUAGGCGACGACACACGCACUACCUUCAUAGACCACAUUUCCAUUGCGUUAUGCGAUGCCGGAAUUAAUACGUUUGUGGACUACCAGCUCAGAAGGGAGGAAAAUAUACAGAGCGAACUUGACGGAGAAUUCGAAGGGUCGAGGAUCAAUCUCGUCAUCUUCUCAAAGAGGUAUGCAGAGUCCGGAUGUUACCUGAGCAAGCCGUCAAAGAUCAUGAGGUGUCGAGAGAAGACCAAGAGGUGAAAGUAGUAUAUCCAAUAUUCUACGACGUUCACUCUUCUCAAAAUAGAGUGGUAGUUUUGGAGAAGCAUUUCAGAAGCAUGAAAAGGAUGACAGUGAGGAAACGAGUCGUCAUUAAAGAUGGAGCAGUCAUGCAGGACGAGCAUGAGGACACGGUGUGAGAGGGAAGACGGUUUUAGCUAGUCCCAAGGUAUUUGGGGGGCCUCGCUAGGACCAGCUUAGCAAUGUUUUAGUCAGAGCAAGUAAACUUUAGUCCCACUAAAGCUAGUCUCAUGCUGAUAACAAACACAAAAUUGGACUAACCUUUAGUCUAGUCUAGUCCAACGAGAAAUAGUGAGGGCAAAAAAGGGGCUCUAAGUAUAUUUGCAAAUGAAGGGAGAGUGAUAUAAUUUUGCUCACAUAGGUUGCUACUUUUUUUAUGGGACCCACUCGAUUUUGGGGCUAGAUAUAGCCCAAUUUUAAGCUAACUAAGAAAGGAAGUUGCUAGUCCGAGUAGUGGAUCUAACCCAAUUUUUCGGCUCAUUUGAGAUGAAAUUUCUCACUAAGACUUGAAAUGUAGUAGUCUCAUGGAGAAUAAAGCCCUUAUUGGAGAUGCUCUUAAAGCCCCAAAAAUUUCUUAGAGUUUAAAUUGAACUGUAUCUACCACUUUUCUAACCUCAUAUAAAACCCCUCAUUGAAAUGCUUUUACAAACAAGUUAAGCACUCGGUUGGAAUACCUUGUUGUGCGUGCAAGGCCACAACAAUUCACUACUACUUUUUUUUUCUUUUUUACUUGGCUAAGUGCUUACGUUGCCAACAACUUGUCACUUUGACUUGACAAACCUAGGGCUGGUUUGGUAUGGGAUACUGAACCGAAAACGGCAUAUCAAGUCCCAAACCGACUAUUUUUGGGACGAAAAUUUGACGACUGAUCCCAAACUAACAUUUCGGUAUUCCCGAAAUUUGGGAUUCCUUAAAUAUUUUCGUAUUUCGAAAUUCUCGAAACCGAACCUGAAAUCAUCUGAACCUGCAUUAAAACCCUAAUUUAAAAUUAGAGACAAUGAGUGAAUCAGUGAAGAUUGAAUGUCGAGAGAAAGGGAGACAGAGUAAAGAGAUAGUCAGACCUACAUCUUCCUUUGGACCCGAGCCCCUAAUUAGAAACCCUAAACCCCAAUUUGAAACCGUAAACCUUAAUUUGAAACCUCACACAUACAGAGAAUCACUGGAGAGAAUCGGAUGAGGGGAUGAAACAGUAAGGUGUGGUGGUGGCCAGAAUGGAGAGAGUUGAUUAAAGUCUGUUGAUGCGCAAAAACAGUGAGGACUUUGGUAUAAUAGAAAGUGUCAAGUUUGUGACCUUCGCUAGAUUGCUCCGGUCACUAGUGUGGAUAAGUAUGUAAAUGGAUAGAGACAUUGAAGCAAACACAAGAUGUAUGUGGUUCACCCAGAUUGGCUACGUCCACGGAGUAGAGGAGUUCUCAUUAAUUGUGAAGGGUUUACAUAAGUACAUAGGUUUAGUGAGUACUAGUGAAUGAUUUAGUACAAAUGACAUUAGAGAUUAUUGUGGGAGAAUGAUCUCCUUUUAUAGAAGAGAGUUUCUAGCUUUGUUCUGGCCUUGACACGUGUCAUGCUGUGAUUGGCCUUUGAUGUUGACAUGUGUCGCCCUGUGAUUGGCCUCUUAGUGUUGACACAUGUUGCGCUAUGAUUGGCCUCCUGGUUGGAGAGAAACUCUUAUGGGUCCUUGAUGGUAUAUAGCGUUGACCGGUGCUUGGUAGUUUCGGGAUUUGUCAAGUAUGGUACAAACAAAGUCAGAUUGUGGGAAGAUGGGUGGGUGGAUGGCCUUUGAGCUUCAAAUUCGAGAGAAAAGACAGAAAGAGUCUGAGACUCUUGGUGAAGGUAAGGAUGAGAGAGAAUGAGUAGGGAUGUAUCUAUAGACAGCACCCAUAUGCUUUUCUGCACACUGUACUUAUUUUAAUAUGAUAUAAUAGGCCAUUAUAGAUAUGUUUGCUUGAUAGAAAUUUAGGCAACACACAACACAUCAUGUGCUUUUCUGCACACUUUGCUUAUUUUAAUAAUAUAUAAUAGGCCCAUUAUAGAUAUUUCAACAUAUAUGUAUAUAUGUAAAAUAUAUUUAUUAAAGUUCGGUUCGGGACAUGGAUACCGAAUGAUGCUAAGAUGUGAGACCGAAUCUCAUACCGAAUAAUUCGGGAUCGGUUUGGUUUUGGUUCGGUUUCGUAUGGUUUGGAAUUUUCGGUAUUUUUUUACACCCCUAGACAAACCUCUUUUUUACUUUUCUUAUUUUUUUUCUAAAAGAAAGCAAUUUGAUUAUAUUCGAAUGAAAAUGUUUACUAUGAAGCCAAAGUAUUAAAUAGCUAUUCUGACUUAAGACCAUCUCAAUUAUGAAAGCCUCAUUUCUGGGCAACAAAAGAAGCCACUAGAUGCGCUGCUUUAUUGCAAAAACAUGAGGAGCGAAGAUAAAUUCUACUGACCUCAACUGUUGUUUCAAGCACUGAACAUCAAAGAGAAUGCCUUCAAUCACAACGUCAAGUUGAGUUUUUUCGUUAAGCAUUUCCACUAGACAUUUGGAGUCCGAUUCUAUCUGAACCAUGAUGUGUGCAUAUUUUCAUAUAUUUUAAUCGUAUAUAUCCUUUGGAUUUUGUCUAUAUGAAUGGGUUAAAUUAAUGUUAAUUACUAAAUUUAUAUUGUAUUGAUAAAUUAUGAAAGACAUUACUAUAUAAAAGGAUUUGGUUGUUGUCAUUCUUUCGAACCUCGCUCUCUUUUAAGUUCUCCCCCCCCCCCACCUCGAUGACAAUUCCUGGCUUCACCAAGGUAAGAGAUUAUGUUGGUAUUUUUCAGGGUGCAGGCGACGGUGCUGACCUGCCAUAAGAAUCUAGUUUAAUGGCGGAGGCAGAAGCAACAUAUAUUCAAAAAGGCUUUGAGGUGGUUUGUUGCGAAAAUUAGAUAUCCAAAAUUAACCUCAUUAAGUCUCGAAUUUUAGUACUCGCAAGUAUACGAAUUGAAUGAUAGUAUAGCAUUGAAGCAUCGAUAUGGUCCCAAAGAGAUCGAAUUUAUUCCAAAGUCUUAAUGUUGACCCUAAAAACUACCAAGCCUACGUGGCGCGCAUGCCGAGUAAUCUAUGAGCUAACUACGUCAUUCGAUUGAAUGCGAGGCGUGCCAACUCGUCGGCCGAGCUUGGCCGAGGAGUAAAAUUUGUUGAUGUUGCGUUGGGUGUGCGGCCGACUUCUGCAUCUUGCGAUUGCGACCGAGGAAGGAAUAUGUCUCGGUCUCUUGGGUUCUCGAACCUGAAGACAAGGCUACUAUUCUUACGAAGUUCACGAAUCGUCGUCGUCAGAUUCGGUCACAGUGAUGGUAUUCGUCAGAGUAAACUCACGCCGAAUCGACACCAAAGUGUAAGGGCAUAAAUACUCAAAGCGGACAUAAGUCUUAAUAGUAAAAGUGGUUCAGCCGUCGGAAUGCCGAACUCUAAAUCCCACUUGAGAGUAUCCAAUCAUAACAUAAACUCGGCAUGUAUGUAAUGUGCCGAGCCCAAUAAACUGUAACACUUCACUUCGCCGAGAAAGCUGAUGAGAUGACCUCGACCAAUAAGGAUUCGGAAAUCCUUCUCGACCGAGACUUGGAUAGAUAAUCAGUCGCCCUCGUUGCAGUGCUGUUUAUCCAAACUGAAGGUGCUUCGCGGUCGGCUGAUUUUACGGCAACAGUGCUGUUUAUCUAAACUUAAGGUGUUUGCCGGUUGCCUUCACAGUGCUGUUUAUCCAAACUGAAGAUGUGUCGGCGAAAAGAUAAAGGAAAAAAUCUCAAGGUUGUUGAGAGAGUUUGCGCAGGGCAGUUGUGUGUUGAAUUGGAUGAGGCUUUUUUUUUUUUGUUCGCGGUACUGUAUUUAUAGAAGAAGAGAAAAUCGUGUGCGCAACUCCCCACCAGUGUAGAAUUUGACUUCAAUUCAAACUUAUCAACUAGAACCUCAGUCAAAGACUUUUCAAGAUAAGCAGGAGAACCAUUCCGUCAUUCCUUAUCUUUAGAAACCGUGCCCUCAGAUUGUCUCCUAGUCCAAUUAGAACUUUAUGUCCACCAUAUUGAUCCAGGUGCAGCCAUGCACGCAAAAUAAGAUAGAAUAUAAUCCCCAAAAACUCUUUCACGUGGCCAAAACCAACAUACCAUCCAAAGGCAUAUAACUGCAUACAUCUUCCUCUGCUGCCGUGCCUUGUACAUACCCUCAUAUAUCCCGUCAUCAUCCAAAUCAAUUGAGAUUUAAUCAAAUAAUAAUUUAAUAUAUUACUAAGAGAUAACAUCAUGAUUAAAAAUCAUAAUAUUAUCCUUUAAUAAAAAUAUCUUCCCUUUUCCAUCCGACGGUUGAGAACUAUGCUUACUCAACGGCCUCAAUUACACAGGCCGAUGGUGUAAAUUUGGAUCCAAACACUUACUAACUAAAUUGAAACAAAUUACAAUUGAGAAGCUUUAACGAAAAAGAGAAAUGAUUUGAAUUUAACUAAAAUUUAAAUAAAGCUUGAAAAUAAUAAAUUGAAAACAUAAGAAAACUAGAUAUAGGGCAUCUGAAUUCACCGUAACCAAGUCUACUUAAUUCUCUUAAUAUGUUAUGCUCAAGUAGUUCUCCAAUAUUGAUGAUCAAUUUUCCUAAAUUAUUCAAUGGUCAUGACAUCUGGUUGCAUCAAAAGUAUCUUACAUGUGAACCCUAUAUGGCAUCUAGAUGGAUUUAAAUGGACUAGGAUUCUCUCCCCUCAUCUUUCCAUCACAUUCCAUCUCCUCCUCUCACACUCUUUAUUUUGUCUUUCUUUUUCUAUAAAAAAUUAAUAUAAGAUACUGACGUGGCUUAAUCGUGACCGUUCAAAUAGGAAGGGAGGGAAUGAGGGAAAAAAGAGAGGAGAGAAUCCUUCUCCGAUUUAAACAAGUAAGAACCCAUUAAGCUCUAUGGAAGUCAUUGGAAAAUCACACAAACCCUAAUUGCAUGACAUCUACAAAUAAGUGUUUAUGGUAUCAAUUGCAAGAAGCUAAACCCAAGUAUGGCAUCUACUCUAACUUGUAUCAAAUUAACUUAACUAAAACUUAGAUGGUGAUCAAGCAUCUAAAUAAAAAUCAAGCGCAUUACGAAUAGCAAAAGAUACUCAAUAUGGAAUAAAAACUUGAUAAUAACAAUGUCACAAGGCAAUUAAGUAUUUAUGAUCAGGCUACAUUAUAACCCUAGCAAAGAAAAACUCCAAAGUAGCUCUCCUCUUUGCCGCAACCAAAUGCCCCCAAACUAAUUUUGCUUGUCCUCGAGCAAACCAAAAUAAAACGCAAAACUCAAAAGAAACAAAUAGUAGCUAACUUCCCAAAUUAACAUAUUUUCAUAUAUGUUAGCUUGGUUUACUGCGUCAAUUAGUGCUUAUAUCUUUUGAUAAUUGAUAUAUAUGCGCGUGAAAUGAUGCGGUGGACGCUCAGGUGAGUUUAUUUAUUUCCAGCUGAGUUAUUUAUAUGAAUUGCAUUGAAAGCUCAUAACCUGCACCUAGGUGAUAGUGUUUAUAUUGUUAUUCACCACACCGCACGCUUGUCUUGGAUCCAAGUAUGUGGAUGUCGUACAGACCAUGUGAGGGUUCCGACAUGCCAGUCGUACAGACCAUUAGAGGGGUUCCGACUGGUGGAUGACCUUAGAUAUGCGUGCUGAUGAUUGAUGUGAGAAGCACUAGAGCGUAUUUAUACACCUGUCACCGUACAGACUACCUUAUGUAGUUCCGAGUGACGUGCAGAGUUAAACCGUACAGGUCACCGAGGUGACUCCGGUUGGAUGAGAUGUUGAGCUUUAGAAUCAGCCGUACAGGACCAUCGUAGGGUCUCCGGUUGACUUAGUAUUCACCUGAUUGAUAUUGAUUUACAUUCUGAUUAUAUUUUGGGCAUGGCAUACCGUUUUCUGUGAUAUAUUAUGAUGAUGAAAAUGUGCUGAGUUAUGAGGUUGAGUAUAUUUAUAUGUUUAUAUACUAUUUUCUGGGAAAGUAUACAGGUUUUUACGGCGAGGGGAUAUAAUUGUUUUAAUGAACUGUUUUGGAAAACUAAUUUGUUUUACUGACCCACUCAUUUUGUUUUGCGCCCCUCCAGGUUCUAGUUUAGCGGUGGUUGGCUCACGAGGUCCUUUUCCGGCUUUCUGACAGACCUUGGACAUGUAGGACUCACCUGAGGGUGAUGUAUUCUUAUUUUAGUCCUACUUGACUGCAGUUACCUAUGCUCUGAACUUAUGUGUUUGUAGUAUAACUCGUCCGGUUAUGUUCGUAGGUGGAUAUGUUUAAGUUGGUUUGAAUUUCAGCUGAUUUAUGUUCUUGUUUUGCUUCCGUGUCGCACCUUUGGUUACGUCACUCCCACGUGACGGCCAGCACACCUGGAUCCCCUGGAUCGGGGUGUGUCAGUUUUAAUAUUGUAUGUAAUUUGUUGUGAGACAUCACGCGAUGAGGCCCUUCAGUUUAAGAGGUUUUGCAAAACCUUUAGCAUAGAACAAAAAAAUGACCAGCCAAUGUUGGAGAUGAUUUGUUGGAACUAAAUAGACUAUAAAAUAGGUAAAGGUAGUAUGUUAGUGUGUGCAACUGCUUUUUACAAAAGGACAUUUAACGAAAAACUUAUGAUAUUGUUCACUUUAACGAAAAACCACAUUUUUACACUAAAAAGUCAAUUUUGGUACUAUUCAUUUUAUCCUUUAUUUUGUCCUUAUCGUUAAAACUCAAAAUUUUCAAGUCUUUUUUCAUUAGUUUUCAUUUUUACAAAAUAGGCGAUGGAUAGAGAGAAUGAGAGCCUACGAACCCUAAUGAGAUUGACCACUGAUUUGAUUGAUGGCUAAGAAUUAACAUCUCUUUUUUCUGUGACUUGAAGCACAAAUAGGUUUGAAACAAUAACAAAUUAAGAAAGCUCUUGAUAUUGGUGAUCUUAUAACUGGUAUAGGAUUAAAUCAAGAUAUUAGUCUCACGCGUCCUUGUGAUACACAGUGGAACUCACAUUAUGGUACUAUAGUUAGUGUUAUUGUUAUGUUUUAAGCCAUGGUGGAGGUGCUUGAAUGGAUUAAAGAUGAUGGCAACCAAGAUAAUUUCAGUGAAGCAAGUUCUUCCACGACAUACAAACUCUUGAUUUUGUGUUUCACCUUUUUUUUAUGAGACUUAUAUUGGGAAUUACAAAUGAGUUAUCACAAGCAUUACCAAAGAAAAUCAAGAUAUUGUGAAUGUGAUGACGUUAGUGGAAGUAUGCAAGCAAAGACUACAAUCCUUGAGAGAUGAUGACUUUGGGGACUUGCUUGAUGAUGUAUAAAAGUUUAGUGAGGAGCAUGAGAUUAUCGUUCCUAACAUGGAGGAUUUGCAUUUCUUACCCGAAAAAUCAAAGUGUAAAGCUCCAAGACUCACAAACUUCUUUACUAUCGUGUGAACCUCUAUUUUCAAGUUCUUGAUAUGCAACUAAAGGAAUUGAAUGAUCGCUUUAAUGAGGUAAACACCGAGUUGCUUCUUUGUAUGGCAUGUUUGAGUCCGGUAAAUAAUUUUGCAUCUUUUGACAAAGCAAAAAUUGUUUAUUUAGCCCAACUUUAUCCUCAAGAUUUUGAUCGUAUGGAACUCAUGAAUCUUCCAAUUCAACUUGAAAAUUACAUUCAUGAUAUGAAGAUGCAUAGUGAGUUUUCAUCAUUGAGAGGAAUUAGUAAUCUUGCAAAUGAGUUAGUGAAGACCAGGAGGCGUGUAAGCUAUAUGUUAGUGUAUAAGCUUCUUACAUUGGUUUUGGUGUUACCGGUUGCAACAGCUUCGGUGGAGAGAGCUUUCUGUUAUGAAGAUUGUGAAAACACCAUUGCAUAACAAAAUGGGAGAUCAAUGGUUGAGUGAUAGCGUGUUUGUUUACAUUGAGUGAGAUGUAUCUGCUUUUAUUGAUAAUGAGUCUGUUAUGCGAUGUUUUCAUGACAUGAAACCUCGCCGGCAACAAUUGUAAUUUGUUUGUAUUGAUAAAAGGAUUUGGUUGUUGUCACAUUCUUUUGAACCUUGCACUCUUUUAAGUUCGCCCUUCCCCCCAACAAUUCCCGGCAAUGGUCAUGGCAUCUGGUUGCAUCAAAAGUAUCUUACAUGUGAACCCUAUAUGGCAUCUAGAUGGAUUUAAAUGGACUAGGAUUCUCUCCCCUCAUCUUUCCAUCCCAUUCCAUCUCCUCCUCUCACACUCUUUAUUUUGUCUUUCUCUUUCUAUAAAAAAUUAAUAUAAGAUACUGACGUGGCUUAACCGUGACCGUUCAAAUAGGAAGGGAGGGAAUGAGGGAAAAAAGAGAGGAGAGAAUCCUUCUCCGAUUUAAACAAGUAAGAACCCAUUAAGCUCUAUGGAAGUCAUUGGAAAUCACACAAACCCUAAUUGCAUGACAUCUACAAAUAAGUGUUUAUGGUAUCAAUUGCAAGAAGCUAAACCCAAGUAUGGCAUCUACUCUAACUUGCAUCAAAUCAACUUAACUAAAACUUAGAUGGUGAUCAAGCAUCUAAAUAAAAAUCAAGCGCAUUACGAAUAGCAAAAGAUAAAAUAAAACUCCAAAGUAAAACCCUAGCAAAGAAAAACUCCAAAGUAGCUCUCCUCUUUGCCGCAACCAAAUGCCCCCAAACUAAUUUUGCUUGUCCUCGAGCAAACCAAAAUAAAACGCAAAACUCAAAAGAAACAAAUAGUAGCUAACUUCCCAAAUUAACAUAUUUUUCAUAUAUGUUAGCUUGGUUUACUGCGUCAAUUAGUGCUUAUAUCUUUUGGUAAACUUUCAUAACGAAUCAUAUUGAGUCAUAAUUUUUUUUUUUAACAUGUAUCAAUGACAUAACCCGCUGCAGAACCAAACUGUAGCACACAAUUCAUCACUGCUAUGACAGCUAAGACAUUCCAAAUCACACAAGUUUACAUACAUUGGGAUAAAACCCACAGUUAUUCAUUGUUAAAUAUAAUUACAAUAAGUUGAUUUUUGUUGGAUGCAACCAUCCAACUACUAUGAUCCUUCAGCGCCCAAUGUUGGAUUUUCUAAGGCGAAGAAACUCCAUACUCAAAAUCGUGGGCAUCGGCUGGAGAGAGAUUGUCUUCGCGUCUUGGGUUGAAGUGCGAGACCUUGAAGAAUAUGAGAACUGGAUCAUCUGGGUCCUCUUCUUCUUAUUAUUCUUUCUUCAAAUGCUUGUAACUCUUAUGGUUAGAGAGAAGCAGAGAAAGGAAAGAGAGAGGGAAAGAGGGGGCGACGAGAGACGGGGGAGAGGAGAAAGUGGGUGAAUCAAAGAAAAAAAGUAAUAGGUGAGGGAGAGAGAGAGGGGAGAGGAGAGAGUGGGGUGGGUGAAAAAGAGUAAUCUUUCUUUAUACCCAAAAGGAGAAAAAAGAUAAAAAAAGAAAAGAAAAAGUGCUGACUAGGCUAUGGGAAAGAAGUUACCGACAUCUCUCUUCCCUCCUCGGUUAUAAAUAGGGGGGUAUUUCAAAAAAAAAAAAAAACAGUAGUAGGAACUCUUGCCCACGCAACGAGGUAUUCCAACCGAGUGCUCGACUGACUUGUCUGUAAGUCUCUGGUUUUUGUUAGUGCGAUGAUGUCCCCAACAACAUUCUGGAUAAACAAUCCUUCACGCCUGCAAAUUGAGAGUCCAAAUUAUUCAAACAGAUGAUUCAUCAUAUCAUGCAACACCAAGAUUCAUAUGAACUAAACUAAUUCAUCAUAUAUGUUCAAUUAAGAAUUAUUUAGACGACCCUUAAGCUGACAUGACCAGACUGGUGGAUAACCCACUGGGAAUUUAUACAGAAAACGAGCCCUAUUACUUGCAACAACAUAAGGUUCCUGUGAGUAGAAGCUCUUCUUUGAUCAAUCAUCCAUGGCUUCCUCAGUUUUUUUUAUCAAUCGUCCAUGUGAUUAUUGAUCUGCUAAUGAAUUAGGCUUUGCUAUAUUUGUUCCAACAUCUGGUAUCAGAGCCAAUAAUAUUGGCUUCUCAUUAAUCCGUCAAGGCUGAUGCUUAUGUAAUUACUAAUCAUUAUUUUCUUCUUCUAAUUACUAAUUAUUAUAUUCUUCUUCUAAUCAUUAAUCUGAUUAUACAAGAUGUUCCAAGCGAUUAAAUUUUGUAAAAGAGGAAAUUUGAAUUUAUACCCGUCCGCCGUGGUUUUAAGAUUCCGGCCACACAAAUCUGCACAAGCCUUAAGGUCCCUUCUCCACUGCUCCACCUCAUCUGGAUCUUCAUCCCUUUCAUGCUUCCGAAAUGCUUCCCCAAAACUACCGCUCUGUUUCCUCACUUGAGAAGGGUCAACGUCGUAGAAUAUUGGAUAGACUACUUUCCCCUCUUGGUCUUC
RNAcentral lists this long non-coding RNA (23497 nucleotides) under Malus domestica (apple). Its description in RNAcentral is "long non-coding RNA (MDOM_LNC017148)". The record is from RNAcentral. Lineage: Eukaryota; Viridiplantae; Streptophyta; Magnoliopsida; Rosales; Rosaceae.